This 3539-nucleotide long non-coding RNA is filed under the name Lotus japonicus. Its description in RNAcentral is "long non-coding RNA (LJAP_LNC002226)". Lineage: Eukaryota; Viridiplantae; Streptophyta; Magnoliopsida; Fabales; Fabaceae. The record is from RNAcentral.
AAAUACUGUAGGAGAAUUAGAAACCACAGAAACAUCAUCCUGUACAACUUUGUCAGUAUUUUGCAAAUUGUCACUUGAUGCAGGCAUUUCAGCCACAUUAUCUUUUCCUGACUCUAUUAUCUGUUCAGUGGAAGAAUCAAAAUUUCUCUGCUGCUCAUUGAUGUGAUCAGUACUUGUUGAACUAGUCUCUAAAUUAUUUGAACUUUUGGAACCAGGUAACUUUUGUGAUAAACUUGGACUGAGAGGAAGUGGAGGUGGAGCAGUAUGGAUAUGAUCAAAACCAUUAUGAGAUGAUAAAUCAUUUGGCUUGGUCUCUGUAUCUGGUAUUGAAGUUUCAGGCAGACCCGAAGUAUCCGGAGAAGCCAAACUUUCAGAUGGGCGUAUGACAGCACUUUCAGAACCAUCCAUAUUUCCAGCUUGUGGCAUAUUUCCAGCUUCUUGAUUAGUAGAACCAUCCAAAGCAUCAAAAUCACGAGAGGAUUCUAUUUUUUCAAGUUCAACAUUGUCCAGGGGAGGAGGCAAACACUGUGACAAAGUGAGUCCAUAUUGCUGAAUAGCUUGUGUUUGGACACAAUAUAUCUGUACAAUGUGGUCUCCAUCCGGUAAACUAUCACUAGUUCCAGUAAGACUUAAUAUAGGCAUUGUGACUGUGAACUCAGCAAUGUAAUCCAAGCGGGUAGCAGUUGGAUUGGUUCCAAAUUCUAUGUGCACAGCAUAUAUUGUAUUUUUCUUGGCAUUUGCUAGCAGAAACAAACCAGCACGAGGCAAUGCUACAACUUGAUUAAAGAAUGCAUCCUCAGGGUUGGGUUCAGAAGAACUUUUAAUAUCCAAAGUCUGAAUACAAUUCCAUGACUCAGAAUCACUAGGUAAUAGCCAGCCUUCCUCAUUGUCAGAUACCCAUAUCUUCACUUCCCGAUUUAGAGGCCCCUGUGGUAAAGUAAAUAUAUAUCGAAAGAAAUUAGUUUAUGGAAGAUACAAAAGUGAACCUGGAUACCACUUUGAGCAGAAAUUACUAAUGAAGGCCAAGCUGCAAAUAAAAUAGUUCAAAAGCAGCCCCAACUGAAGCAUAAUAAUAUACUGUUUCAAAUAAUAGGAAAGCCUAGGAGCAUAUACCACUGUGAUAAGAAUGAUAUGAUCAGGGCGGUGAGGAGCUGUCAAGAAUGUCACAGAAUCAACAGGUUUACCAUCAUACGGUCUUAAAACAGCAAGUGGUGUUGCCUUCCGUUCUUCCCAUAUCUUUACCUGUUGACAAUAACGAGUCAUUUAGAAGUGUAAGAAGAAGACUGGUUUCAAAUCUCUUCUUCAUAUUGACAACCCCAAGAUGCAAUUCAAUGACAUGAACCAUUUAAAGCAAAAGGUUUUGAGUUUAUAUUAAAAUUUUCGCAGAUUCCACUAGUGCAAAACUGGAUCAAACAAAGAAAAACAGCAAGGCAAGAAGAAAGAGCCAGAUGCAGACCGUGCCAUCUGCAGAUGCUGAAGCUAAUCGACUCUUCAUCCAUUGGCACAUUGACAAUUCAGUGACAUUACCGUCAUGCUUACCAAUGAGGUGCACCCCAUCAAUCAAUUUAUCAAUGUUACAUUUGAGAGGCUCCUCUGCGGAAAAUUUUUCACCUUUCCCAGCUUUCAUAGUGUCAAUUUUGAGGACACGGUUUCCAAUAGCAACUAUUAAAAUCUCCUGUAGGUCAAUUCCAACUGAUAAGCUAAAUUUUCAAAGGACAGCAAUUAGAAGAUAAUAAACUUAAGGACCAAAAAUAUAAGGUCACUAUUACUUGUUUGUGGGGAUGCCAGCAUACUCGUGGAUGAACUGACUCACUAUCUCCUAACAUCUGAAUGGCUAGGAUAACUUUUCCAGUAAUUUGAGGCUUGUCUUCCUCAUCAGGGCCCUCAUUGAUUCUCCAUACAAAAAUUGUCCCAUCAGUGCUAGCACUGUGAAUACAAGAGCAUAUUCAAGGGAGAAAUAAUUAAUCAGUGCAUUAUAAUUUAUAGCCAAAAAAAUGACACAAGAAGCUGAACGAAUAUUUACCUUGCCAAUAGGUGAAGAUCCUCAGCGAAGAAAGCCAUGUCUGUUACUCUCUGCAUAAAAAGGUGAUAUACAUAAAUUGGAGUGUGAAUAGAUUGGAAAUCAAAUAAAAAGGGAAAAUUACAUCUCAAAGGCGUUUAGCAACAGCAAACUUAUUAUAAGAGGUAGAACAAGCUUUACAUGUUCAAAGGAAGUUGAAAUCAUAAAAAUAUGAUCCACCAUGAGAUAAAAGUUACAAAGAUUACCCAUACAAUGGUUAAAGUAAGGAAGUCAAAAGGUACAUCUAUUACUCUCAAAUUUUAGGAGCUUGGUAAACAUAGCAACAUAAUCCAAACAAAUAAAAAGAAACUAAAAGAUAAAACCAGAAAUGAGAGAAAGAACACACACAUAACACAAACAAUCUUUCUCAUAUAUCAACAAACUCAUCUUAUAAUUACCAUAUCUUGUCUUUCUGCAAGCAGCUAUCUAAACAAAAAAUGAUACGCUUAAAUCAAAAGAAGGUAACAUAUUGAAAGCAGGAAAAAAAAUAAGGAGAGGAAGUGGAGGUGGAGCAGUAUGGAUAUGAUCAAAACCAUUAUGAGAUGAUAAAUCAUUUGGCUUGGUCUCUGUAUCUGGUAUUGAAGUUUCAGGCAGACCCGAAGUAUCCGGAGAAGCCAAACUUUCAGAUGGGCGUAUGACAGCACUUUCAGAACCAUCCAUAUUUCCAGCUUGUGGCAUAUUUCCAGCUUCUUGAUUAGUAGAACCAUCCAAAGCAUCAAAAUCACGAGAGGAUUCUAUUUUUUCAAGUUCAACAUUGUCCAGGGGAGGAGGCAAACACUGUGACAAAGUGAGUCCAUAUUGCUGAAUAGCUUGUGUUUGGACACAAUAUAUCUGUACAAUGUGGUCUCCAUCCGGUAAACUAUCACUAGUUCCAGUAAGACUUAAUAUAGGCAUUGUGACUGUGAACUCAGCAAUGUAAUCCAAGCGGGUAGCAGUUGGAUUGGUUCCAAAUUCUAUGUGCACAGCAUAUAUUGUAUUUUUCUUGGCAUUUGCUAGCAGAAACAAACCAGCACGAGGCAAUGCUACAACUUGAUUAAAGAAUGCAUCCUCAGGGUUGGGUUCAGAAGAACUUUUAAUAUCCAAAGUCUGAAUACAAUUCCAUGACUCAGAAUCACUAGGUAAUAGCCAGCCUUCCUCAUUGUCAGAUACCCAUAUCUUCACUUCCCGAUUUAGAGGCCCCUGUGGUAAAGUAAAUAUAUAUCGAAAGAAAUUAGUUUAUGGAAGAUACAAAAGUGAACCUGGAUACCACUUUGAGCAGAAAUUACUAAUGAAGGCCAAGCUGCAAAUAAAAUAGUUCAAAAGCAGCCCCAACUGAAGCAUAAUAAUAUACUGUUUCAAAUAAUAGGAAAGCCUAGGAGCAUAUACCACUGUGAUAAGAAUGAUAUGAUCAGGGCGGUGAGGAGCUGUCAAGAAUGUCACAGAAUCAACAGGUUUACCAUCAUACGGUCUUAAAACAGCAAGUGGUGUUGCCUUCCGUUCU